Molecule: ribosomal RNA, 303 nt
Filed under: Triticum aestivum (bread wheat)
Lineage: Eukaryota; Viridiplantae; Streptophyta; Magnoliopsida; Poales; Poaceae
Description: partial small subunit ribosomal RNA
Source: RNAcentral
AUGACACAAACUCUUAAAGAUUAUGGAAUACAUGUGAGAUGUGUUCCCUUGCUUUGUGACAAUGAGAGUGCCAUUAAGAUUGGACACAACCCUGUGCAACAUUCUCAAAUAAAGCAUAUUGAAUUUCGUCACCAUUUCAUUCGUGAUCAUAUUGCCAAGGGUGACAUCAAUCUUAAGCAUGUUCUUACCUACAAGCAAUUAGCCGAUAUCUUCACAAAACCUCUUGAUGAGAAGGUGUUUUGUCGUUUGAGGAGUGAGUUGAACAUCAUUGAUGCUUCAAACUUGGAGUUAGAACUCCAUUGA